UUGAUCAUGAUACUAAACGAAUCGCAUGGCCUUGAGCCGGCGAUGGUUCAUUCAAAUUUCUGCCCUAUCAACUUUCGAUUGGUGAGUAGUGUUCACCAAUGGUGUCGACGGGUAACGAAGAAAUUAGGGUUCGAUCUCGGAAGGACGCCUGAGAAACGGCGUGCACAUCCAAGGAAGGCAGCAGGCGCGCAAAAAUUACCCAAUCCCGAUACGGGGAGGUAGUGACAAUAAAUACUGAUGCAGGGCUCUUUUGGGUCUUGCAAAUUGGAAUGAGUACAAUUUAAACCCCUUAACGGGGAACAAUUGGAGGGCAAGUCUGGUGCCAGCAGCCGCGGUAAUCCCAGCUCCAAAUAGCGUAUAUAAGGUUGUUGCAGUUAAAAAGCUCGUAAGUUGAACCUUGAGCCUGGCUUGGCCCGGUCCGCCUCACCGCGUGGCCACUGGUCCCGGCCGGGUUUUUCCUUCCUGGGGAGCCGCAUGCCCCUUCACUGGGUGUGUCGGGGAAACCAGGACUUUUACUUUGAAAAAAUUAGAGGUGUUCCAAAGCAGGCCUAUGCUCGAAUACUUGGCAUGGAAUAAUAGAAUAGGACGGUGUGGUUCUAUUUUGUGGGUUACUAGGACCGCCGGUAAUGAUUUAAUAAGGGAUAGUCGGGGGGCAUCAGGUAUUCAAUUGUCCAGAGG
RNAcentral lists this ribosomal RNA (678 nucleotides) under uncultured fungus. RNAcentral describes it as "bacterial SSU rRNA". It matches the Rfam family "Eukaryotic small subunit ribosomal RNA", at positions 246 to 911 of the family's 1831-position model. Lineage: Eukaryota; Fungi. The record is from RNAcentral.